UGAGUAACCUGCCCUUAACUCUGGGAUAAGCCUGGGGAAACUGGGUCUAAUACCGGAUAUGACUCCUCAUCGCAUGGUGGGGGGUGGAAAGCUUUAUUGUGGUUUUGGGAUGGACUCGCGGCCUAUCAGCUUGUUGGUGAGGGUAACGGCUCACCAAGGCUUCGACGGGUAGCCGGCCUGAGAGGGCGACCGGCCACACUGGGACUGAGAUACGGCCCAGACUCCUACGGGAGGCAG
This 237-nucleotide ribosomal RNA is filed under the name uncultured bacterium. RNAcentral's name for it is "partial 16S ribosomal RNA". It matches the Rfam family "Bacterial small subunit ribosomal RNA", at positions 118 to 351 of the family's 1533-position model. The record is from RNAcentral.